UGUAUUAUACAUAUUUGACCACUAAAUGGAAAGAAUUAAAGAAGCACUGCAGAGCCAACGAUUAUCAAAGAUUUACAAAUUUUAAAAACGAAAUCAAACUCAUAUCUCCGUGCCUAUUAACAUUUCAAUAAUACUCUAACACCGUCCAAGUUCAGAGACGUAUGAGCAGUAGAUACACUACAUCACAAUCAACGAAUUCAGAAGAGCAAAACCUAAAGCAAGGAAUUCUUUACUCUUUUUUAUUUCAGAGACCCAAACAAACAAAAAAAAUUGCCAUGAAGUUAAAUGGUUUAAAUCUUUUUUUUUUGAACUAUAACACCAAACUCCAAGCAUAGAUCUCAUUUCAAGCAAAUUUAACAUGUUCAUUGUUAAACAACAGCUUUAAUCAACAGAAGACAGACAAUCAGCAUUUGGAACUCAUGGUCACAGAACAUCGAAAGUGAGGCAACAGAUAGUUCAACUUCAUGUAUAUGAUUCAUGGGCCAAGCAAAUGUUCAGCUACAUACCUGUUUACAGCAAAAUCAACCAAAAAUAGAAAUAAACUUAUGAGAAUGAAAAGGUGCAGCAGCCAAACAGAAACAACAAGAGUGAUUAAAAAUAAACUUUAGCUUUAAACCCAGAAAUCCAAAGAACACUGCUCCAAACUUUAAGUGAAAACAGAAGAUAGAAGAGCUGAUUCCUUUCUUUCGAAGAGAGUCAGAUUUUUCUUUCUAACUUUAAACCUAAAGGAGAAAAGAAAUCAGGAAAAAGACUAAGGGUCCAACAAGUUUCUAAAUUAUCAGGGUUUUUUCAAGUGUCUAAAUCCAGAAAAAUUCAAGAGAGAAGGGGUCCUAUAUAUAGGUGCUCACUCUGCCAUGUGCUGCUAAGGAAUUUUUUGGAAUAAAAUCUCUACGGCCAACCCUAAAUUUCAGGGAAAAAAGCAUAUUUCAAAA
Molecule: long non-coding RNA, 932 nt
Filed under: Nicotiana tabacum (common tobacco)
Lineage: Eukaryota; Viridiplantae; Streptophyta; Magnoliopsida; Solanales; Solanaceae
Description: long non-coding RNA (NTAB_LNC001197)
Source: RNAcentral